AACCCAUGGUAAGGGCAUCUUCUCAAGAGAUCCUUGUAUCUCUCCCAUGCAUCAUAGAGUGUUUCUAAAUUGAUCUGCAUAAAAAAAGAGAUAUCAUUACAUAAUUU
RNAcentral lists this small nucleolar RNA (107 nucleotides) under Gossypium hirsutum (cotton). RNAcentral describes it as "Plant small nucleolar RNA R71". It matches the Rfam family "Plant small nucleolar RNA R71". From Rfam's summary of the family: R71 is a member of the C/D box family of snoRNAs containing the C (UGAUGA) and D (CUGA) box motifs. Multiple nearly identical copies of this snoRNA have been identified in Arabidopsis, and it is thought to function as a 2'-O-ribose methylation guide for 18S ribosomal RNA. Lineage: Eukaryota; Viridiplantae; Streptophyta; Magnoliopsida; Malvales; Malvaceae. The record is from Rfam by way of RNAcentral.